GAUUCCUCCCGGCCACAUAAAGCACUGUUGCGUGCGAGUCCAUUUACUAAUUUAUGGAUAAGUUCAUAUUGAAGUAAAUUACUAUUGAAAAGCAUUAUACUAGCAUAAGCAAACCAUGUCAAACUUUUGCGCAGCUCCAAAUUGCACCAUAAAAAGUAAUCGGUCAGCAUCGCUAUUCUUCAGGUUUCCAAGGGACACUGAAAGAUACAAGCAGUGGAUGGAAAACUGUCAUUGCAAGGAUCUUUAAGAUAAAACACCUGACCAGCUGAACAGACAAUACAGACUUUGUGCUAAGCAUUUUGAACCAUCCGUGAUUUGUAAAUCAAGUUCCUACAGGACAAGGCUGAAGGAUAAUGCCACACCAACCAUCUUUGAUUUAUCAAGCCAGCUCAAUAAGCCACAAAGUAGGCAACGCAAGAGGAUUAAAGAGCUGAGUGAAGAUGAAGAAAGGCAAAUGAAAGGUACAUUGUGCAUCUUAGGUUGAGGCUGUUUCAAUGUACAGUGCGUUCAGAAAGUAUUCAGAUCCCUUGACUUUUCCACAUUUUGUUGCAUUAGCCAUAUUCUAAAAUGAUUAAAUAAUUGUUUCCCUCAAUCUACACAAUAACCUGUUUUUGCUUUCAUUAUGGGGUUUUAGAAAUGUUUGCAAAUGUAUUAAAAAUAAAACUGA
Molecule: non-coding RNA, 667 nt
Organism: Salmo salar (Atlantic salmon)
Lineage: Eukaryota; Metazoa; Chordata; Actinopteri; Salmoniformes; Salmonidae
Source: RefSeq, a predicted model, not a curated record